Molecule: ribosomal RNA, 460 nt
Filed under: uncultured bacterium
Lineage: Bacteria
Description: partial 16S ribosomal RNA
Rfam family: Bacterial small subunit ribosomal RNA
Source: RNAcentral
CCUACGGGAGGCAGCAGUGAGGAAUAUUGGUCAAUGGCCGAAAGGCUGAACCAGCCAAGUAGCGUGAAGGAUGAAGGCUCUAUGGUUUGUAAACUUCUUUUAUAGGGGAAUAAAGGUAUCCACGUGUGGCUAUUUGCAUGUACUCUAUGAAUAAGCAUCGGCUAACUCCGUGCCAGCAGCCGCGGUAAUACGGAGGAUGCGAGCGUUAUCCGGAUUUAUUGGGUUUAAAGGGUGCGUAGGUUGUUUUUUAAGUCAGCGGUGAAAGUUUGUGGCUCAACCAUAAAAUUGCAGUUGAUACUGGAAGUCUUGAGUGUGUUUGAGGUAAGCGGAAUGCGUGGUGUAGCGGUGAAAUGCUUAGAUAUCACGAAGAACUCCGAUUGCGAAGGCAGCUUACUAAGCCAUGACUGACACUGAUGCACGAAAGUGUGGGGAUCAAACAGGAUUAGAUACCCGGGUAGUC